Gavia stellata (red-throated loon) is the source of this 1266-nucleotide long non-coding RNA. RefSeq lists it as uncharacterized. The record is from RefSeq and is a predicted model, not a curated record. The transcript is spliced from 4 exons. Lineage: Eukaryota; Metazoa; Chordata; Aves; Gaviiformes; Gaviidae.
UGCCGCCGUGACGUGCAUCUCGUGUGGAAAUCCCCGCGGCCAUUGCCGUACCGGGGCUGGUGAAGAGGCGCUUCAUCCCACAACAGCCCUUUCCCCGGGGAGGCAGGCCUGUGGUUCCCUUUGUUCCUGGCUCCAGGACUGAGGAGGGCUGCUGGACAUGCUGAAGGAUUAUGAUAGUUCUGUUGCUGCCUUAGCUGUCCUGUACCAUGCCUGGCCAUGAGCGCUGAGUGAACGUUGCUGAGCAGGCUGGUCCGUACUCAGCCAUCAGGCCUGCAUUCUCCAACAGAUUCAUCAAGCUGGCAGCGUAAUGAUGGAGCUGUUAGGUACCUGUAGAGUCCCACACCAAGGGUGUCCGACCACCUUGCAUUUGGCUGAGAAAAUCUGUCCUUGCAGCAGUCCUGCAGGAGGGUUGUGAAGUCCUGCGGACUAAGCAGUUUGGAUUGGGUUCUUGUGUCAUCUGAGGUGAACGGCUAAUCCUGGUGCCAGGAUACAGAUAUCUACUUGAAAAGAAGAGUGGCUCUUGAUUUUUGGCAGAUAAAACAUAUUCCAUUGGGUGGAAGUUGGACCCUGAAUCAAGGCAUACAUUUUUAAGCGAAGGAAAAAAAAAAGGUGUUAAAACAAUUGCGUGGUUCUAUCUCACUACUUCAUUCCCUGGCAGGGGAGCUGUACACUUUAGCUGCUGUUCUCUGGUAUGGCCUUGCCAAUGUCAGCAGGGCUCACAUGGCCACCUCUUGCCCUCUGCAUUGGCAGUGGUUGCUGGCUGAGUCACCUGUUUCUGCUGGACACAAGUUGUUGUGCUCACUGCAAGACAUAGCAACUGAAAGUCUCUGGCCUGCCUUACAGGAGGUCUGACAGAGUGACCAUAACAACCCUUUCUGCCCUGGAAAUCUCUGAAUUCCUGGUAGGCUAAGAAAUGACACCGUACUUGCAUAGCUGAGUGUUGCUAAACCCAUCUUCUUUUGAGGCUUGCAAAACAAAUAGAUAUCCAAGAGAAGAUGGUACUAAUUGCUGCUGUAAUGACAUACUCAGCUUCUGUUCUUACAGGUUCUACAAAGCUUGUUUUGGGGAGACUUUUUUUAAGCUAUUUGGGGAAGAACAGACAAGCUUUUGGCACACGGUUCUACAUCAAAUCUCUUCAGUUUUGCCAGGCUCUGUUUAUUUGUAGGGACCCUGUAUAUUGUAGAGACCGCUGCCUGUUUCUGAUGAUCCCCUAGAAUGGAAACUUGAACCAAUGGUUUUUGUAAUGAAUGUGCAAUAAAUCUGUGG